Molecule: long non-coding RNA, 466 nt
Filed under: Amborella trichopoda
Lineage: Eukaryota; Viridiplantae; Streptophyta; Magnoliopsida; Amborellales; Amborellaceae
Description: long non-coding RNA (ATRI_LNC003652)
Source: RNAcentral
AGUCACUCUCAUAUUAAGAACUUCUUGAAUAGUUGAAUUAGAACAUACUAAAUUAAAAAUUUAAAAACAUAUCAUAGAUUACAAACAUAACAAGUAAGACGUAAAUCAAGACAAGUUACAGAUAUACCAUGAGCAAUACAAACUUUAUUACAUCAAAUAAAGCCUUACAUUUCACACAUACAAAAGCUUGUAAACAAUUUUAAUUCUUGGGAAUAUACUCUGGUAUCUCCUUCCAAAAGCAGUCACACAUGUGCUUAUAUACUAUCACUCAUCAAACUCUCACAAUUUUACAAUCUCAAAGAAGGAACAAAACAACUUCUAGAUAAACACCACUCAGAAAACACUAAGAACACUCAGACUGACUUCUAAUGCCUUCAAAUGAAGCUUCCUCCUCUUUUUAUAGGCGAAAGGCAGACUUUAAAUUUUUCUUUGGAAUCCGGAAAGAGAUAACGAUGAUAGUGAUGUG